This is a long non-coding RNA of Argiope bruennichi, 770 nucleotides long. RefSeq lists it as uncharacterized. The record is from RefSeq and is a predicted model, not a curated record. The transcript is spliced from 3 exons. NCBI's taxonomy places the organism in Eukaryota, Metazoa, Arthropoda, Arachnida, Araneae, Araneidae.
UCUUGUUUUUAUAAUAUGGUUAUCUCCAAAAAAUGCUUUUUUUUUUCUAUUUUAUUGUGUCCCCUACUAUUCAUGGCAUUUGUAGACAUUAUAACUUGUUUUACUCUCCAGGUUAUGGACCUUAGACAAUGGUUAAUAGCGACAAUAAUUAUUAAAGCGGUUUCAAAACCAUAUUACUUAAUGCAAAUGAAUGAAAUUUACAACCGAAAAUAGAACUGCUUGCUAGGAGUAAAUAUAAUUUCUGGUAUCAAGACUUUUCUCUAUCGAGCCAAUAAAGAGAAACUCAUAGAAAUGUAUGCUACUCGUCUAAAGUGGUCAGCUAGCAAAUCAUCCUAAGGAUACCAGAACACAUUUUGAAUAUGGUAUUGGUCUUUCCAAGAGAUUUUCUAUCUUCCUGAAAAUUCCAGGCAACCCUGGCAAUUCCUUUCGCUUCUUACACGUUUGUAUUAAGGAUUCAGAAGUUAAAGCAGAAAGAAAACAUUGAAUUAAUUUUGGAAUGAAGAUUUUUAAUGUUAAAAGAUUGAAAAGAAGGAAGCUACAUCAUUUCUAAAGGUUAAAAACAAUUAUGGAAGAUGAUAAUAUAAAUACAUAGUGUGCAACUAAUGAUUUUCAACUUAUAAGCUCUAGUUCUGAUAACCCAAGAAGUCCUGAAAUACACGCAGGAUUACCAUAUGAUAAUGAUGAAACGUUUUAACUCCUUCCAUUCCGAAAAAAUUAAUUAAAACUUACAAUUUUAAAGUUGUUUUAAGCUGUUCAUAUUUUUGAACAAC